Molecule: unclassified non-coding RNA, 302 nt
Organism: Homo sapiens (human)
Lineage: Eukaryota; Metazoa; Chordata; Mammalia; Primates; Hominidae
Rfam family: Metazoan signal recognition particle RNA
About the family: The signal recognition particle (SRP) is a universally conserved ribonucleoprotein. It is involved in the co-translational targeting of proteins to membranes.
Source: Ensembl
GCUGGGCGCGGUGGCAGGCGCCUGUAAUCCCAGCUACUCGGGAGGCUUAGGCAGGAGAAUGGCAUGAACCCGGGAGGCGGAGCUUGCAGUGAGCCGAGAUAGCACCACUGCAGUCCGGCCGGGGAGAAAGAGCGAGACUCCGUCUCUAAAAAAAAAAAAAAAAAAAAAAGAAAAAAAAUUAAACAAAAAUUUUUUCUUUUCUGAGACGGAGUCUCGCUCUGUCACCCAGGCUGGAGUGCAGUCGCGCGAUCUCGGCUCACUGCAACCUCCACCUCUCGGGUUCAAGCGAUUCUCCUGCCUCA